UUAAUACUCCGUCCGUCCCAGAAUUAUGUCUUAGAUUUGUCUAAAUACGUAUGUAUCUAGUUGUGUUUUAGCGUUAGAUACAUCUAUAUCUAGACAAAUCUAAGACGAGAAUUUUGGGACGGAGGGAGUAUGAU
This is a non-coding RNA of Hordeum vulgare subsp. vulgare (domesticated barley), 134 nucleotides long. The record is from Rfam. Lineage: Eukaryota; Viridiplantae; Streptophyta; Magnoliopsida; Poales; Poaceae.